GAGACCUCAGGUCAGGCGGGGCUACCCGCUGAGUUUAAGCAUAUCAAUAAGCGGAGGA
This 58-nucleotide ribosomal RNA is filed under the name Phaseolus lunatus (lima bean). RNAcentral's name for it is "partial large subunit ribosomal RNA". It matches the Rfam family "Eukaryotic large subunit ribosomal RNA", at positions 1 to 57 of the family's 3401-position model. RNAcentral also lists the same sequence under 7 other names. Lineage: Eukaryota; Viridiplantae; Streptophyta; Magnoliopsida; Fabales; Fabaceae. The record is from RNAcentral.